RNAcentral lists this ribosomal RNA (497 nucleotides) under uncultured bacterium. Its description in RNAcentral is "partial 16S ribosomal RNA". It matches the Rfam family "Bacterial small subunit ribosomal RNA", at positions 28 to 507 of the family's 1533-position model. The record is from RNAcentral.
GAUGAACGCUGGCGGCGUGCCUAAUACAUGCAAGUCGAGCGAACAGACGAGGAGCUUGCUCCUCUGACGUUAGCGGCGGACGGGUGAGUAACACGUGGAUAACCUACCUAUAAGACUGGGAUAACUUCGGGAAACCGGAGCUAAUACCGGAUAAUAUAUUGAACCGCAUGGUUCAAUAGUGAAAGACGGUUUUGCUGUCACUUAUAGAUGGAUCCGCGCCGCAUUAGCUAGUUGGUAAGGUAACGGCUUACCAAGGCGACGAUGCGUAGCCGACCUGAGAGGGAGAUCGGCCACACGGGAACUGAGAAACGGGCCAGACUCCUACGGGAGGCAGCAGUAGGGAAUCUUCCGCAAUGGGCGAAAGCCUGACGGAGCAACGCCGCGUGAGUGAUGAAGGUCUUCGGAUCGUAAAACUCUGUUAUUAGGGAAGAACAAAUGUGUAAGUAACUAUGCACGUCUUGACGGUACCUAAUCAGAAAGCCACGGCUAACUACGUG